RNAcentral lists this ribosomal RNA (4055 nucleotides) under Triticum aestivum (bread wheat). Its description in RNAcentral is "partial small subunit ribosomal RNA". Lineage: Eukaryota; Viridiplantae; Streptophyta; Magnoliopsida; Poales; Poaceae. The record is from RNAcentral.
AUGAUGUUGCGGUUGAUGCUUAUGAUCAGCAGGUCUCUGCUUAUUCAGAUGCUCUUUCUGUGUAAUGUGAUGACCUGUCUGCUUACACUCAGUGGUGCAAUGAUGAUGCUCGUGCUGCUGCUGUUCUCACUGCGAGUGUCCUCCCUCAGUUUGCUUCGGAGUUCAUGGGACUUCGCACAGUUGCAGCGAUGUGGUCUUACCUCUGUCAGCGCUAUCAGCCCUCUGGUGAUGCUCUCUACCUCUCUGUGGUGCGUCAGGAGGACGCCCUCCAGCAAGGUGAUUCUUCUGUUGACGAGUUCUAUUCAUAGUGCUCUGCCAUCUGGCGCCAACUUGACUCUCUUCGGACAGUUGUUUGUGGAACCUGCCGUUGUUGUCAGACUACUCGGUCUGAUCUGGAGUUUUAGAGGGCUCAUGAGUUCUUAUCUCAUCUCCGGUCUGAGUUUGAGCCUCGACGGGCGCACCUGCUUGCUCGUGGCCGUGUUCCUAUCUCGGAGGUCCUUGCCGAGCUUCGUUCUGAGGAGACCCGCCUUCGCUCUGCUGGGUUGCUUCUGGUUCCGUCAGUAUUGGCCGCCCGAGCUCCUGUGUCAUCUGCGCGCCUUACUGCUCCGCCGCUCCUGCCUACUCCUCCAGGGGGUGAGCCGUCCUCCUUAUGCUGAGAAGGGCACGUCGCGCCGUGACACUUUCUGUGGUUACUGCUCCCGGCCAGGUCACCCAGAGUCUGAUUGUCGCCAGAAGAAGCGAGAUCAGAGGCGCUCCUCUUCCAGUGGGACUCUUGUGUCUUCCUCGACUGCGUCACUCACUGACCAGGAUAUUGUACGCCUCAAGCGUCUACUUGCUUCCUCUGGCUCCUCGUUGACUGGUUCCGUUGCAGCUGUGACUGCCUCCCCUUCUCCACCACUGUCGGCAUCUUCACAGUCAGGUACAUCUUCGUGGGUUCUGGAUUCUGGAGUUUCCUUUCAUAUGUCUUCUGAUUCUUCCGCGCUGUCUUCUCUCCGACCUCUUGAUUCGCCUGUUAAUGUUCUUACCGCCGAUAGCACACCUCUUCCUGUUGCUAGUCGUGGUAUUCUUUCCACUCCAUCUUUUUUCGUUCCGAGUGUUUCACAUGUUCCUCGCCUUACCAUGAAUCUUUUUUCCGCUGCCCAACUUACUGAUUCUGGUUGUCGUGUCAUUCUUGAUACCGACUCUUGCUCCAUUCAGGAUCGUCGCACCAAGGCUUUGGUUGGUGCUGGCCCCCGGCGCCGUGAGUCAGAGGGCCUUUGGGAGGUUGACUGGCUGUGUGUUCCUUCCACUGCCACCACUUCUGCCAGCUCUCAUGCUCUUGCUGCCUCUUCGUCUGCGUCCUUCCAACAGUGGCAUCAUCGCCUUGGUCACAUUUGUGGCUCUUGCUUGUCUUCUUUAGUUCGUCAGGGCCUCUUAGGGUCUGUAUCUGGAGAUGUCUUUACAUUGUAAUGGUUGCAGACUUGGCAAACAGACUCAGUUACCUUACCCUACCAGUGAGUCGGUAUCUCAGCGUCCUUGCUCCCUUUGAUUCGAAAGGUGGUCAUCGCUAUUAUGUUUUGUUCAUUGAUGAUUUCUCUUGCUACACUUGGCUCUACUUCAUGAAAUCUCAUAGCGAGGUUCUCCCUAUAUACAAACGAUUUGCUGCCAUGGUUCACACCCAGUUUUCCACGCCCAUUCGUACCUUUCAUGCUGACUCUGCUGACGAGUAUAUCUCUCAGCUGUUGCGUGGUUUUCUCGCGGAACAGGGUACUCUUGCCCAGUUCUCUUGUCCUGGUGCUCAUGCUCAGAAUGGCGUUGCCGAACAUAAGCAUCGUCAUUUGCUUGAGACGGCUCGUGCACUGAUGAUUGCUGCUUCCCUUCCACCCCAUUUUUGGGCUGAGGCUGUUUCUGCAUCCACCUGUCUCAUCAACAUUCAGCCAUCGACUGCUUUGCAGGGUGGUAUUCCUAUGGAGUGUCUCACUGGUCGCUCUCCUGACUACUCUGCUCUUCGUAUGUUUGGAUGUGUGUGCUAUGUCCUUCUUGCCCCACGAGAGCGCACCAAACUGACUGCUCAGUCGGUUGAAUGUGUUUUCCUUGGCUACAGUGAUGAGCACAAGGGCUAUCGCUCUUGGGACCCUAUUGGUCGUCGCUUGCGCAUUUCGCGUGACGUGACCUUUGACGAGUCUCGCUCUUACUACCCACGUCCUUCUUCCUCGACCUUCUCUGUGGACGAUAUUUCCUUUCUUCUCCUUCCCGAUACACCUGGCUAUGUGCCUCACGUUUCACCUCUUCCUCCUACACCUCUCAUUCAUUCUCAUUCACCACCGACACCAUCUUCUCCAUCCUCCUCCUCCACCUCUACACCACCAUCUCCCGUCCAUCACCCUCUCUCACCGUUUCAUCUCCACUAUACUCGUCGCCCUCGUACUGAGGAUGCUUCCCCUGACGGUGCACCUCCGUUCACGCCUACCCCGUUUCAUAACCUCCGUGCCCGGCCUUGCCCACCGCCUGAUCGCUAUUCUCCUGAUCGGUACGGUCUCUCUGUUAUUGCUGAGCCCACUUCCUAUCGUACUGCCAUGACUCAGCCUGAAUGGCAGCUUGCGAUGGCCGAAGAGCUUGCUGCCCUUGAGCGCUCUGGCACAUGGGAUCUGGUUUCCCUCCCUUCCUGUGUUCGUCCCAUUACCUGCAAGUGGGUCUACAAGAUCAAGACUCGCUCCGAUGGUUCUCUUGAGCGUUACAAAGCCCGUCUUGUGGCCCGUGGCUUUCAGCAGGAGCAGGGACGCGAUUAUGAUGAGACAUUCACUCCUGUGGCCCAUAUGACCACUGUCCGCACUCUCCUUGCUGUGGCUUCUGUUCGUCAUUGGUCCAUCUCUGAACUUGAUGUCCAGAACGCUUUCCUCAAUGGCGAGUUACGUGAGGAGGUUUAUAUGCAGCCACCACCGGGGUACUAUGCUCCUGAUGGCAUGGUCUGUAGACUUCGUCGCUCCCUCUAUGGUCUUAAACAGGCCCCUCGCGUCAGGUUUGAGCGUUUUGCCUCUGUGGUGACUGCCGCUGGUUUCUUGCCCAGUGAUCAUGAUCCCGCGUUGUUUGUCCACACGUCUCCUCGUGGUCGAACUCUUCUUCUUCUCUGUGUUGAUGACAUGAUCAUCACUGGUGACAACUCUGAGUACAUUGCCUUUGUUAAGGCUCGCCUUCGAGACCAGUUCCUCAUGACUGAUCUUGGUCCUCUUCGCUAUUUUCUUGGGAUUGAGAUCUCCUCGGCCUCUGAUGGCUUCUACAUCUCCCAAGAAAAAUAUAUUCAGGAUCUUCUUGCUCGUGCUGCUCUCGGUGAUGAACGCACAGCUAUGACUCCUAUGGAGCUCAACGUUCAGCUUCAUGCCUCUGAUGGUGACCCUCUUCCUAAUCCCACUCGCUAUCGUCACCUCGUUGGCAGCCUUGUCUAUCUUGCUGUUACGCGUCCUGACAUCUCCUAUCCUGUCCACAUCCUGAGUCAGUUUGUUUCAGCCCCCACCUCUGUCCACUAUAGUCACCUUCUCCGUGUUCUACGAUAUCUUCGUGGCACGAUCUCUCAACGCCUUUUCUUAACCCGCUCCAGCUCUCUUGAGGUCCAGGCCUACUCUGAUGCUACCUGGGCUAGUGAUCCCUCUGAUCGACGCUCGCUGUCUGCUUACUGUGUCUUUCUUGGUGGCUCUCUUAUUGCCUGGAAGACAAAGAAACAGACUGCAGUUUCUCGCUCGAGUACAGAGGCUGAGUUGCGAGCCAUGGCUAUGUUGACGGCUGAGGUGAUCUGGUUACGGUGGUUGCUUGAGGAUUUUGGUGUGUCUGCUACUACCUACACUCCCCUACUGUCUGACAGUACCGGUGCUAUCAGUAUUGCGCAUGACCCUGUGAAGCAUGAGCUCACCAAGCACAUCGGUGUGGAUGCCCACUUUGUGCGUGCUGCUGUGCAGGAUCAGACUCUCGCUCUUCACUAUGUGCCCUCUGAGUUACAGUUGGCUGACUUCUUCACGAAGGCACAGACUCGAGCACAACAUGGUUUUUUCCUCUCCAAACUCAGUGUUGUUGAUCCACCAUGA